Molecule: ribosomal RNA, 1368 nt
Filed under: uncultured bacterium
Lineage: Bacteria
Description: bacterial SSU rRNA
Rfam family: Bacterial small subunit ribosomal RNA
Source: RNAcentral
GACGAACGCUGGCGGCGUGCCUAAUACAUGCAAGUAGAACGCUGAAGAGAGGAGCUUGCUCUUCUUGGAUGAGUUGCGAACGGGUGAGUAACGCGUAGGUAACCUGCCUUGUAGCGGGGGAUAACUAUUGGAAACGAUAGCUAAUACCGCAUAACAAUGGAUGACACAUGUCAUUUAUUUGAAAGGGGCAAUUGCUCCACUACAAGGUGGACCUGCGUUGUAUUAGCUAGUAGGUGAGGUAACGGCUCACCUAGGCGACGAUACAUAGCCGACCUGAGAGGGUGAUCGGCCACACUGGGACCGAGACACGGCCCAGACUCCUACGGGAGGCAGCAGUAGGGAAUCUUCGGCAAUGGGGGCAACCCUGACCGAGCAACGCCGCGUGAGUGAAGAAGGUUUUCGGAUCGUAAAGCUCUGUUGUAAGUCAAGAACGAGUGUGAGAGUGGAAAGUUCACACUGUGACGGUAGCUUACCAGAAAGGGACGGCUAACUACGUGCCAGCAGCCGCGGUAAUACGUAGGUCCCGAGCGUUGUCCGGAUUUAUUGGGCGUAAAGCGAGCGCAGGCGGUUUGAUAAGUCUGAAGUUAAGGCUGUGGCUCAACCAUAGUUCGCUUUGGAAACUGUCAAACUUGAGUGCAGAAGGGGAGAGUGGAAUUCCAUGUGUAGCGGUGAAAUGCGUAGAUAUAUGGAGGAACACCGGUGGCGAAAGCGGCUCUCUGGUCUGUAACUGACGCUGAGGCUCGAAAGCGUGGGGAGCGAACAGGAUUAGAUACCCUGGUAGUCCACGCCGUAAACGAUGAGUGCUAGGUGUUGGAUCCUUUCCGGGAUUCAGUGCCGCAGCUAACGCAUUAAGCACUCCGCCUGGGGAGUACGACCGCAAGGUUGAAACUCAAAGGAAUUGACGGGGGCCCGCACAAGCGGUGGAGCAUGUGGUUUAAUUCGAAGCAACGCGAAGAACCUUACCAGGUCUUGACAUCCCGAUGCUAUUUCUAGAGAUAGAAAGUUACUUCGGUACAUCGGUGACAGGUGGUGCAUGGUUGUCGUCAGCUCGUGUCGUGAGAUGUUGGGUUAAGUCCCGCAACGAGCGCAACCCCUAUUGUUAGUUGCCAUCAUUCAGUUGGGCACUCUAGCGAGACUGCCGGUAAUAAACCGGAGGAAGGUGGGGAUGACGUCAAAUCAUCAUGCCCCUUAUGACCUGGGCUACACACGUGCUACAAUGGUUGGUACAACGAGUUGCGAGUCGGUGACGGCAAGCUAAUCUCUUAAAGCCAAUCUCAGUUCGGAUUGUAGGCUGCAACUCGCCUACAUGAAGUCGGAAUCGCUAGUAAUCGCGGAUCAGCACGCCGCGGUGAAUACGUUCCCGGGCCU